RNAcentral lists this unclassified non-coding RNA (338 nucleotides) under soil metagenome. RNAcentral describes it as "partial contains 5.8S ribosomal RNA, internal transcribed spacer 2, and large subunit ribosomal RNA". The stretch from base 1 to 120 matches the Rfam family "5.8S ribosomal RNA", at positions 35 to 154 of the family's 154-position model. The record is from RNAcentral.
GAUGAAGAACGCAGCGAAAUGCGAUACGUAGUGUGAAUUGCAGAAUUCAGUGAAUCAUCGAAUCUUUGAACGCACAUUGCACCUCUCGGUAUUCCGGGAGGUAUGCCUGUUCGAGCGUCAUUUGUACCCUCAAGCUCUGCUUGGUGUUGGGUGUUUGUUCCGCCUCUGUGUGUGAACUCGCCUCAAAACAAUUGGCAGCCGGCGUACUUGUUUCGGAGCGCAGCACAUUUUGCGAUCCAGAUCAACGUACAGCGGCAUCCAAGAAGCCUUAUUUAACGCUCUUGACCUCGGAUCAGGUAGGGAUACCCGCUGAACUUAAGCAUAUCAAAAGCGGAGGA